This 196-nucleotide ribosomal RNA is filed under the name uncultured bacterium KC411. RNAcentral's name for it is "partial 16S rRNA". It matches the Rfam family "Bacterial small subunit ribosomal RNA", at positions 267 to 480 of the family's 1533-position model. The record is from RNAcentral. Lineage: Bacteria; Pseudomonadati; Pseudomonadota; Alphaproteobacteria.
ACCAAGUAUACGAUCUAUAGCUGGUUUUAGAGGAUGAUCAGCAACACUGGGACUGAGACACGGCCCAGACUCCUACGGGAGGCAGCAGUGGGGAAUCUUAGACAAUGGGCGCAAGCCUGAUCUAGCCAUGCCGCGUGUGUGAUGAAGGUCUUAGGAUCGUAAAGCACUUUCGCCAGGGAUGAUAAUGACAGUACCU